RNAcentral lists this long non-coding RNA (438 nucleotides) under Felis catus (domestic cat). RNAcentral's name for it is "lncRNA (ENSFCAG00000044440.2)". The record is from RNAcentral. Lineage: Eukaryota; Metazoa; Chordata; Mammalia; Carnivora; Felidae.
GUUUCUGAUUCUGUGUCUCCCUCUCUCUCUGCCUCUCCCCCGUUCAUGCUCUGUCUCUCUCUGUCCCAAAAAUAAAUAAACGUUGAAAAAAAAAUUAAAAAAAUAAAUAAAUAAAUAAAUAAAUAAAUAAAUGAAACACUAAAAAAAUUUUUUUUGAUGUGGUUUACUUGGCAGAGAGGUUCCAGGUUGCAUGUGCUCUACAUGGGAGUUCACAGAGGGAAAUAAUUACGUGGCAACAAUACAACAGCUCUCAGACCUACCAUUUCCAAGCCCAUUGUCCCUAUGCUUUUGGUGGACAUUGCGUGGAGCUGGUUUUAAAGGGGUAACACUGGCAAGAAAACCAUCAGUGUUGAGCGCCACAAUACUACAGAGCCUGUGAUUUUGUCUGCGCUAAGCCAAUGUUUUAAGAAAUAAAGGUGAAAUUCCAGCUUGGGAACA